AGAGUUUGAUCCUGGCUCAGGAUGAACGCUGGCGGCGUGCCUUAGGCAUGCAAGUGGAACGAUCCCGCUUCGGCGGGAGAGUCGCGAACGGCUGAGUAACACGUAAGGACUUGCCCCCUGGUGGAGAAUAACUUAUCGAAAGAUAGGCUAAUACUGCAUAAUCCUGCUUUGCAGGUAAAGGGCGUAACUGCUCGCCAAGGGAGAGACUUGCGGCCCAUCAGCUUGUUGGUAGGAUAACAGCCUACCAAGGCUACGACGGGUAGGGGGCGUGAGAGCGUGUCCCCCCAGAGAGGCACUGAGAUACGGGCCUCACACCUAUGGGUGGCAGCAACCGGGAAUUGUGCGCAAUGGACGAAAGUCUGACGCCGCGACGCCGCGUGAAGGAUGAAGGCCUUUGGGUCGUAAACUUCUUUUGCCAGAAGGGAGACCGACUGGAGAAUAAGCACCCGCUAACUACGUGCCAGCAGCUGCGGUAAUACGUAGGGUGCAAGCGUUGUCCGGAUUUAUUGGGCGUAAA
Molecule: ribosomal RNA, 517 nt
Filed under: uncultured Microgenomates group bacterium
Lineage: Bacteria
Description: bacterial SSU rRNA
Rfam family: Bacterial small subunit ribosomal RNA
Source: RNAcentral